Molecule: ribosomal RNA, 472 nt
Filed under: uncultured bacterium
Lineage: Bacteria
Description: partial 16S ribosomal RNA
Rfam family: Bacterial small subunit ribosomal RNA
Source: RNAcentral
GACGAACGCUGGCGGCGUGCUUAACACAUGCAAGUCGAACGAUGAACCCGGAGCUUGCUCUGGGGGAUUAGUGGCGAACGGGUGAGUAACACGUGAGUAACCUGCCCUGGACUCUGGGAUAAGCGUUGGAAACGACGUCUAAUACCGGAUAGGACCUUGGAUCGCAUGAUCUGGGGUGGAAAGUUUUUUCGGUCUGGGAUGGACUCGCGGCCUAUCAGCUUGUUGGUGAGGUAAUGGCUCACCAAGGCGUCGACGGGUAGCCGGCCUGAGAGGGUGACCGGCCACACUGGGACUGAGACACGGACCAGACUGCUACGGGAGGCAGCAGUGGGGAAUAUUGCACAAUGGGCGAAAGCCUGAUGCAGCAACGCCGCGUGCGGGAUGACGGCCUUCGGGUUGUAAACCGCUUUUAGUAGGGAAGAAGGGCUUCGGCUUGACGGUACCUGCAGAAAAAGGACCGGCUAACUACGUG